Physcomitrium patens is the source of this 1235-nucleotide non-coding RNA. The record is from RefSeq and is a predicted model, not a curated record. NCBI's taxonomy places the organism in Eukaryota, Viridiplantae, Streptophyta, Bryopsida, Funariales, Funariaceae.
CGGCAAUUUUUUUAUGCACCGUUGUGGCCGAUCUCGGCAUCCAUUACGCAACAGAAUCGAUAAAAUCGACACGUGGUGACGGCGACUCAAGCGCGUGCCCCAGUGGCUCUCCGACGAACCUUUGUCUUUGCAGCCCUCUCACGCAAGCUCUCUGGAUCACUCGCUGACUCGGCCUUGCGAUUCUAUCUCGCUCGUGUUUGUGUUGAUUGACCCCUCGUGCUUUCUGAGAUUUGUGGGUUCGCAGCCGUUUUGCGAUUUCAGACCUGAUCUCUUACAGGUCUUGCCAUAUGAGUUCCAGGCCAUGGUUAUUUUGUCGUUAACGGGCGAAGCAGACAUUCAACUGGGUUAAGAGUUGGGCUCAUAAGCCUACUACUAGCCACUCUCAAGUGGUGAUGCAGGGCGUCUUUGCCGAGUAAAAAAGCGUCGGGUGGGGUGCAGAUCGGGGUGGCAGGAGCGUGGCAGGAGUUUGGUUGAAGGUAGGGAGAUAGCCAUGAAUCUCGAAUUUGAUUACCUUUUCAAGCCAUUGUGGUCGAUAGGAGAUGUUGUCGUCUAUCGGAGAUUCCAGUGUGUUGGAAGGAGUUGCCUUCAGCUCUGAUUUGUAGACUACUUGCACAUCAGCACAAUAGGUGUGGACUUUAAAAGCCAGAGGUGGAGCGACGAGUGUCCUUAUCACUUGCUCAGUCAGCAUCAAAAUAAUCAUGGAGAAUAUCACCUUGAGGUAAGUGUUGAUAUUUUAUUCUAAAGGAUAAUGUGCUUUUUAUAUAUCUCAUAGUUCUUUUCAAAGUUUGAAUAUGUAUAGGUUUUGAUUUAGAGAGAUAUUGUGCUAAAUUGUUGAUAGCAUAAACACAAUCGGGUCUAGAAUUAACAAUGGCAUGCAUUAAAUUGCCAACAACUUGAGAAUAGAGAUAAUCAGAUAAAGUAAUAUGGUUUUCAUUACUUAAACGAAUCCUUGGCUUAAUUGGGGUGCCUAAUGGAUUGGAAGUCAACAUAUUGAAUUCAGUAAGUUUAUUUGUUAAAUAUUUGGUUUGAUGAAGGAUGACCCAUCCUUCUUUUCAAUUUCUUAAAAUGAAAUUGCAUAAAGUAUAAUGGAUUUUUCCUUCAUCGAACAUGUCAAAUUCUUGUUGGAGAAUGUUUUUGAUUUGUUGAAUUUAAGGAAGUUUAUUGUUGACAAGAAUAUAGUCAUCAAUAUGGACUGUAAUUAUGGUAAAAUCUUGAUUAUGUUCUUUUUUGAUGUA